RNAcentral lists this unclassified non-coding RNA (393 nucleotides) under uncultured Glomus. RNAcentral's name for it is "SSU rRNA". It matches the Rfam family "Eukaryotic small subunit ribosomal RNA", at positions 569 to 967 of the family's 1831-position model. Lineage: Eukaryota; Fungi; Glomeromycota; Glomeromycetes; Glomerales; Glomeraceae. The record is from RNAcentral.
AGCAGCCGCGGUAAUUCCAGCUCCAAUAGCGUAUAUUAAAGUUGUUGCAGUUAAAAAGCUCGUAGUUGAAUUUCGGGGUUCUUCCGUUGGUCAGGCUAACAAGUCUGUACUAGCGUGUAGAAUCUCUACCUUCUGGGGAACCAUCAUGUUAUUAAUUUAGCGUGGUGGGAAACCAGGACCUUUACCUUGAAAAAAUUAGAGUGUUCAAAGCAGGCUUACGUCUGAAUACAUUAGCAUGGAAUAAUAAAAUAGGACGGUGGUCCUGUUUGUUGGUUUCUGAAUCACCGUAAUGAUUAAUAGGGAUAGUUGGGGGCAUUAGUAUUCAAUUGUCAGAGGUGAAAUUCUUGGAUUUAUUGAAGACUAACUUCUGCGAAAGCAAUUUGCCAAGGAUGU